Molecule: ribosomal RNA, 443 nt
Filed under: uncultured bacterium
Lineage: Bacteria
Description: partial 16S ribosomal RNA
Rfam family: Bacterial small subunit ribosomal RNA
Source: RNAcentral
CCUACGUGAGGCAGCAGUGGGGAAUAUUGUGCAAUGGGCGCAAGCCUGACCCAGCAACGCCGCGUGAAGGCAGAAGGCUUUCGGGUUGUAAACUUCUUUUCUCAGGGACGACGGAUGUGACGGUAACUGAGGAAUAAGCCACGGCUAACUACGUCGCAGCAGCCGUGGUAAUACGUUGUAGGCAAGCGUUAUCCGGAGUUACUGGGUGUAACGGGCGUGUAGGCGGGAGAGCAAGUCAGCUGUGAACACCAUGGGCUCAACCUGUGGCCUGCAUUGGAAACUGUUUUUCUUGAGUAGUGGAGAGGCGGACGGAAUUCCUGGGGUAGCGGUGAAAUGCGUAGAUAUUAGGAGGAACACCAGUGGCGAAGGCGAUCUGCUGGCCAGCAACUGACGCUGAGGAGCGAAAGCGUGGGGAGCAAACAGGAUUAGAUACCCUGGUAGUC